Molecule: ribosomal RNA, 497 nt
Filed under: uncultured bacterium
Lineage: Bacteria
Description: partial 16S ribosomal RNA
Rfam family: Bacterial small subunit ribosomal RNA
Source: RNAcentral
GACGAACGCUGGCGGCGUGCCUAAUACAUGCAAGUAGAACGCUGAAGAGAGGAGCUUGCUCUUCUUGGAUGAGUUGCGAACGGGUGAGUAACGCGUAGGUAACCUGCCUGGUAGCGGGGGAUAACUAUUGGAAACGAUAGCUAAUACCGCAUAAAAUGGAUUAUCGCAUGAUACUUCAUUGAAAGGUGCAAAUGCAUCACUACCAGAUGGACCUGCGUUGUAUUAGCUAGUUGGUGGGGUAACGGCUCACCAAGGCGACGAUACAUAGCCGACCUGAGAGGGUGAUCGGCCAAACUGGGACUGAGACACGGCCCAGACUCCUACGGGAGGCAGCAGGAGGGAAACUUCGGCAAUAGACGGAAGGCUGAACGAGCAACGCCGCGGGAGUGAAGGAGGGUUUCGGAUCGGAAAGCUCUGUUGUAAGAGAAGAAAGAGUGUGAGAGUGGAAAGUUCACACUGUGACGGUAUCUUACCAGAAAGGGACGGCUAACUACGUG